UACGUAGGGUGCAAGCGUUAAUCGGAAUUACUGGGCGUAAAGCGUGCGCAGGCGGUUCUAUAAGACAGCUGUGAAAUCCCCGGGCUCAACCUGGGAACUGCAUUUGUGACUGUAGAGCUGGAGUACGGCAGAGGGGGAUGGAAUUCCGCGUGUAGCAGUGAAAUGCGUAGAUAUGCGGAGGAACACCGAUGGCGAAGGCAAUCCCCUGGGCCUGUACUGACGCUCAUGCACGAAAGCGUGGGGAGCAAACAGG
RNAcentral lists this ribosomal RNA (253 nucleotides) under uncultured bacterium. RNAcentral's name for it is "partial 16S ribosomal RNA". It matches the Rfam family "Bacterial small subunit ribosomal RNA", at positions 524 to 776 of the family's 1533-position model. The record is from RNAcentral.